RNAcentral lists this ribosomal RNA (468 nucleotides) under uncultured bacterium. Its description in RNAcentral is "partial 16S ribosomal RNA". It matches the Rfam family "Bacterial small subunit ribosomal RNA", at positions 28 to 507 of the family's 1533-position model. The record is from RNAcentral.
GACGAACGCUGGCGGCGUGCUUAACACAUGCAAGUCGAACGGAAAGGCCCUGCUUUUGUGGGGUGCUCGAGUGGCGAACGGGUGAGUAACACGUGAGUAACCUGCCCUUGACUUUGGGAUAACUUCAGGAAACUGGGGCUAAUACCGGAUAGGAGCUCCUGCUGCAUGGUGGGGGUUGGAAAGUUUCGGCGGUUGGGGAUGGACUCGCGGCUUAUCAGCUUGUUGGUGGGGUAGUGGCUUACCAAGGCUUCGACGGGUAGCCGGCCUGAGAGGGUGACCGGCCACAUUGGGACUGAGAUACGGCCCAGACUCCUACGGGAGGCAGCAGUGGGGAAUAGUGCACAAUGGGCGGAAGCCUGAUGCAGCAACGCCGCGUGCGGGAUGACGGCCUUCGGGUUGUAAACCGCUUUCGCCUGUGACGAAGCGUGAGUGACGGUAAUGGGUAAAGAAGCACCGGCUAACUACGUG